CCUACGGGAGGCUGCAGUGAGGAAUAUUGGUCAAUGGGCGAGAGCCUGAACCAGCCAAGUCGCGUGAGGGAGUACUGCCCUAUGGGUUGUAAACCUCUUUUGUCGGGGAGCAAAAGCCGGACGUGUCCGGCUGUGAGAGUACCCGAAGAAAAAGCAUCGGCUAACUCCGUGCCAGCAGCCGCGGUAAUACGGAGGAUGCGCGCGUUAUCCGGAUUUAUUGGGUUUAAAGGGUGCGCGGGCGGAUUUUUAAGUCAGCGGUAAAAUCGUGGGGCUCAACCCCAUCCAGCCGUUGAAACUGGUGAUCUAGAGUGUGCGAGAGGUAUGCGGAAUGGGGGGUGUAGCGGUGAAAUGCAUAGAUAUCACGCAGAACCCCGAUUGCGAAGGCAGCAUACCGGUGCACAACUGACGCUCAGGCACGAAAGCGUGGGUAUCGAACAGGAUUAGAUACCCGGGUAGUC
Molecule: ribosomal RNA, 458 nt
Filed under: uncultured bacterium
Lineage: Bacteria
Description: partial 16S ribosomal RNA
Rfam family: Bacterial small subunit ribosomal RNA
Source: RNAcentral